This 351-nucleotide ribosomal RNA is filed under the name Terebra funiculata. RNAcentral's name for it is "partial 12S ribosomal RNA". The record is from RNAcentral. Lineage: Eukaryota; Metazoa; Mollusca; Gastropoda; Neogastropoda; Terebridae.
UUACCGGAGUACUAUGAAUACUAUAAAUUUAAAACUCAAAGAACUUGGCGGUGUUUUAGACCACUCAGGGGAACCUGUCUCGUAAUCGACAAUCCACGUUGUACCUGACCUUUCUUUGUUCUCAGUUUGUAUACCGUUGUCGUCAGGUAACUUUUUAGAAUGUAGAAGUUGGCUGGAGAAAUAAAUGAUUUAGUACGUCAAAUCAAGGUGCAGCUAAUAGAAAGGGGAGGAUGGGUUACAAUUAUUUAUUUAUAAUUACGGAUUAUUAUGUUAAAGCGUAAGGAUAAGAAGGAGGACUUGAAAGUAAAUUAAAUUUAUAAAAAUAAAUUUGAAUAAGGCUCUGAAACGUGU